This 119-nucleotide ribosomal RNA is filed under the name Pteropus alecto (black flying fox). The record is from RNAcentral. Lineage: Eukaryota; Metazoa; Chordata; Mammalia; Chiroptera; Pteropodidae.
GUCUAGAGCCAUGCCACCCUGAAUAAGCCUGAUCUCAGCUGAUCUCGGAAGCUAAACAAGGUCCAGCCUGGUUAGUACUUGGAUGGGAGACCACCUAGGAAGACCAGGUGCUGUAGGCG